AAGUCGUAACAAGGUUUCCGUAGGUGAACCUGCGGAAGGAUCAUUACAAAUAUAUGGUUAACGCCAACAUUUCAUGUGCAACUUAUUGACGCUGCCAGAAUUUCGAAAAGUUUUUGGAUUUUUCGAUGCCUGGCAGCAAAACCGACCGCUUGAAUCAAUAAUGUACUUUAGUGAUUUAAUGCAUGAUACAAGCGGUCAGCGGGUAAUGCAUGAUACAAGCGGUCAGCGGGCCUCUCGUUGUUGUUCUCGGAUAACAAUUGAUGUCCGUCUUUUACAACAUUAUAACAUCAGUCUUAUUUAUCCAUCAUCAGACAGUAGCAAUUCAGCGAAAUGUGAUGACAUAAAAGGGUUAAAAACUUUUAGCAACGGAUCUCUAGGCUCUC
Molecule: unclassified non-coding RNA, 383 nt
Filed under: fungal sp.
Lineage: Eukaryota; Fungi
Description: partial internal transcribed spacer region
Rfam family: Eukaryotic small subunit ribosomal RNA (bases 1-46)
Source: RNAcentral